Molecule: long non-coding RNA, 1539 nt
Organism: Oncorhynchus tshawytscha (Chinook salmon)
Lineage: Eukaryota; Metazoa; Chordata; Actinopteri; Salmoniformes; Salmonidae
Source: Ensembl
AUAGUCAUUUAGUCUCUAUGGGCCAGAUGGUCAGUUGGUGAGAAACUGUUCAGAUGGGGGUCUAUAACAUCACAGAGGUUUACAGCAGCUGACAGUUGCAACUUCAUCGAUACUAACUCAAACUGACUUGGUUUAAAUAAAGACAAUAUUUGUAAAGAUAAAAACGUAUAAGUGUAAGUAUGUCUAAGUAUUUCUGAACAAUAGUAAAUUCUGAAGGACAGAGUAUGUGAAUUAAUACCAGAAAGUAUAUAUUACUAGUUAGUAGAACUGCUACUUGAGCUGAGUUGCUGACAGACAGCAGUUUUCAAAGUGUAAACUAAUCAGUAGACCCACAUGUUAUCAGUAACACGUCUGGUAAAGAUGGUGGAGGAGCUUUUCAAUGAUAUGGUUUUAUGUUUAUCUCAGGGUUUCUCCAUCCUUUUGUUCUUACCAGCACUUACACACCUGAUUCAACUAAUCAUCACAUAUUUUAAGACAGUUUAAUAUUUGAGGCAUACAAAUGAACAUUCUCAAAUUAAAACCUUUUGGAUUUGGUAAACCUGUUAACAAUUAUUAAAGGCCUACAGUAAUGUAAGAGAGACGUCUCGAAGAAGGACUAUACAUUUUUUUGAAGCAAGAUGCGGCACAAUGUCAUGAUUUACUGCUGUCGCAUGAAGCUGACUGUUAGCGCCACCCUCUGGUUACUGUUGUUAUGUGAAGGGGUGACGCCUUGACUGCAGUUGAAAUUGAAAACAGAAAGUAUCUGUACAGGGCCAUUUUGAGAUGACAGAGCAGCUCAUAGUUGAAUCUCUAAACUGCAACGCAGUUUCACAGUAAAGUGAGUAUUUCAGGUUAAUAAUCUAGAAUAAAGUAGAGGGGACAUGUGGAAUACAGUAAACUAGUGUCUGAGUGCUGCUGAGUCAUUCUUCUGUCUUUCAGGUUAAUAAUCUAGAAUAAAGUAGAGGGGACAUGUGGAAUACAGUAAACUAGUGUCUGAGUGCUGCUGAGUCAUUCUUCUGUCUUUCAGGUUAAUAAUCUAGAAUAAAGUAGAGGGGACAUGUGGAAUACAGUAAACUAGUGUCUGAGUGCUGCUGAGUCAUUCCUACCAUGUGGUGCCUUUUCUGUCCCCAGGAAAUAUCAGUUCUUAUUUAGUGAAAGCUGAAAUAAAUCAUUCUCUCUACUAUUAUUCUGACAUUUCACAUUCUUUAAAAUAAAGUGGUGAUCCUAACUGACCUAAAACAAGGACUUUUUACGAGGAUUAAAUGUCAGGAAUUGUGAAAAACUGAGUUUAAAUGUAUUUGGCUCAGGUGUAUGUACGUGUAUAUAUUAAUUUACUGCUCUAAGGAUAUAAUUAUUGUUUACAUCACCUUAUUACUAUUAUGUUUAGAUUUUUCCCUUCCAUUUGUUUUACUAUUUAUGUGAUGUGCAAUGCAGAGAACACUGAAGAGGAAUUAUCAUUUAAUUUCCACAGUGAAUUAUUGUAAUGUUUGUUUAUGUGUCAAUUAACCCCAUAAGGGAAGGGUUGCCAGGUGGCGAUUUGACACAAUAAUAAAGUUUUCA